UGCCCAGCAACUCCUAUCCCUACCUCCUCGUGGUACUGGCCGGGGUACGAGUAGCCUUGGGGAAGAUCGGGUAACCAACCCCCGGUGGGAACUUUGGUCGUAUGCUGACAGGGAAGG
Molecule: non-coding RNA, 117 nt
Organism: Aedes aegypti (yellow fever mosquito)
Lineage: Eukaryota; Metazoa; Arthropoda; Insecta; Diptera; Culicidae
Source: Rfam